Molecule: ribosomal RNA, 491 nt
Filed under: uncultured bacterium
Lineage: Bacteria
Description: partial 16S ribosomal RNA
Rfam family: Bacterial small subunit ribosomal RNA
Source: RNAcentral
GUGAACGCUGGCGGUAGGCCUAACACAUGCAAGUCGAACGGCAGCACAGUAAGAGCUUGCUCUUACGGGUGGCGAGUGGCGGACGGGUGAGGAAUACAUCGGAAUCUACUUUUUCGUGGGGGAUAACGUAGGGAAACUUACGCUAAUACCGCAUACGACCUACGGGUGAAAGCAGGGGAUCUUCGGACCUUGCGCGAUUGAAUGAGCCGAUGUCGGAUUAGCUAGUUGGCGGGGUAAGGGCCCACCAAGGCGACGAUCCGUAGCUGGUCUGAGAGGAUGGUCAGCCACACUGGAACUGAGACACGGUCCAGACUCCUACGGGAGGCAGCAGUGGGGAAUAUUGGACAAAGGGCGCAAGCCUGAUCCAGCCAUACCGCGUGGGUGAAGAAGGCCUUCGGGUUGUAAAGCCCUUUUGUUGGGAAAGAAAAGCAGCAGGUUAAUACCCCGCUGUUCUGACGGUACCCAAAGAAUAAGCACCGGCUAACUUCGUG